This 482-nucleotide ribosomal RNA is filed under the name uncultured bacterium. Its description in RNAcentral is "partial 16S ribosomal RNA". It matches the Rfam family "Bacterial small subunit ribosomal RNA", at positions 28 to 506 of the family's 1533-position model. The record is from RNAcentral.
GACGAACGCUGGCGGCGUGCUUAACACAUGCCAGUCGAACGCUGAAGCUCAGCUUUUGUUGGGUGGAUGAGUGGCGAACGGGUGAGUAACACGUGAGUAACCUGCCUCCUUCUUUGGGAUAACGCCCGGAAACGGGUGCUAAUACUGGAUAUUCACUGGUCUUCGCAUGGGGGUUGGUGGAAAGGGUUUUUCUGGUGGGGGAUGGGCUCGCGGCCUAUCAGCUUGUUGGUGGGGUGAUGGCCUACCAAGGCUUUGACGGGUAGCCGGCCUGAGAGGGUGACCGGUCACAUUGGGACUGAGAUACGGCCCAGACUCCUACGGGAGGCAGCAGUGGGGAAUAUUGCACAAUGGGCGCAAGCCUGAUGCAGCGACGCCGCGUGAGGGAUGGAGGCCUUCGGGUUGUGAACCUCUUUCGCUCAUGGUCAAGCCGCAACAAUGGUUGUGGUGAGGGUAGUGGGGAAAGAAGCGCCGGCUAACUACGU